Molecule: long non-coding RNA, 2415 nt
Organism: Apodemus sylvaticus (European woodmouse)
Lineage: Eukaryota; Metazoa; Chordata; Mammalia; Rodentia; Muridae
Exons: 2
Source: RefSeq, a predicted model, not a curated record
GUCAGUCUGACAGCUGAUUGGCUGCUCGGAGAUGCAUAUAAUUACCAGCAACUGGCGCUGGGUAGGCAAAGCCCGGAGAAACUGCUGAGAUGAGAGAAAUGUCCCUGGGUGUUCUGGAGGCGGCUCGCGUGCACAGGGAUGGCGACUCCAUCCAGGACGCUUGCUUGGUGGGAUACCAGAGAACACCCUGCUCCCCGAGGGGACAGAGUCAAGGCGAGACCUCAGAAGAUCAUGUGACAGUUGGGCUGUGUGUCUCAAAGGAUUCUGAUGGCAGAACCUCAGAGCUUCUGAGAAGUACAGGGCUGGAGGACAGCUCCCCUGCUCCGAAGGGAGCUGCUCACGCAAGGAAUCCUGGGAAUCUUCUCCAGGAAACAGGCUAUGAUCCGCCUGCAUUCUCUGAGAGUGCUUCCAAAGCAUAGCCUUGGGGUCAGUGUGCCUGGGAACAAAUUUUGGGAAGCCUGUGGAUGACCCUUCUCUCUGUUUCUGUAUUAGUCACCGACCAUUGCAUAACCAAUCUUUCCCCCCCCCCUCCCAAAAAAAACACAACACUUUUUAUCUCAGUCUCAGUGGAUCAGGAAUUCAGCUGCAGCCCCGCUGGCUGGCUGUCCCCAGCCUGAGGUCACCGCGGCUGCAGUUCUCUGAGGGCCUCACUGAGCACUGGCUUUGUGCUUCCUCCAGACUUGUCUCAUGAACCACUGGGCUGCUUGAGUUUUCUUCCAAGAUGGCAACUGCUUUCAGUAGAUUGAACAAUGUAAAAGAGCCUUUUAUGACGACCUUGGAGAGCACUCAGUUAUUCCCUCACAUCCUACUGAGUGUUCCAACCACCUUCACUCUCUGUGGAAGGGGACAAGCCAGCCUGUAAAUGCCUGAAGGUAGGGAUCAUUUGGAGACCAUCUUGGAGGCUGGUGACCAUGGCAACCAUCUCUUCAGCACGAGAGGUAUCCUUCCUGGCAUACAUGGUUGGUUUCUUACCAUUUGCUGGACAUUAGUGGCUAGAGUGUUAACGUGGGAUGUGAAGGACAUGGAAGAAACACGAAUUUAUCAGCUGAGCUCAAGGGAAUGGAAGCAGUAACAAUCACACAGGGCCAUCUCUCCAGCUGUACUCUACCAGGCCGUGGAUGCCACGACACCAGGCUAUCACCCCUAGGCAGCCUGUUCCACCCACAUUCCCAAGGUUAGACCAUUCAUCUGUAAGCAAUGCAGGAGGUGAGAUGUGUGUGUGUGUGUGUGUGUGUGUAUUCACAGCUAAAUUCGUGUUAGCAGCUUGGGACAGGACUAGAACAGAGGGAGUUGGAAUGAACCAAAGCAAAUGAUAAAUAACAUAGAUAAAAUAUCCAUUAAUUGCACAGGGUGAUGGCGGCGCACGCCUUUAAUUCCAGCACUCGGGAGGCAGAGGCAGGCAGAUUUCUGAAUUCGAGGCCAGCCUGGUCUACAGAGUGAGUUCCAGGACAGCCAGGACUACACAGAAAAACCCUGUCUCAAAAAAGAAGGGGGUGGGGUAGGGAAAAGAAGGUUAAAUACAUAGACAGGGCGAGGAGCUGGGACACACACUGACAAGGUGGAGCCUCAUUGGCUGUGACAAAGGGCCGCAUAGGCAGGGGAGGGCUGGGCCCCUGGCUGAGAAGCCUUGUGGUGAAUGAGUGUGUCUCGAGGGGCCCACCACAGCUGUAUCCUGGGUUAAGCCUUGCUGAUCAUUAACUGUGUGGCUCAGGCUAGUGAAUUCAUGUCCUCAGUUUCCCAUGUAUAAAAUGGGUGGUACUGGUACUGUUCCCUCCUACCCCCCACUGUGACUCUCAUUCAGAGACAGAGUCUGGACCCAGCCAGAGGACUGCUUCCCCAGGACACAGCCUAUAGUGGGCACCAUCUGGUGACACUCCAAGUUCGAGGAAGCCUAUGUAUAAGUCCUAUUGACUGGAGGGGUCAGCCCAUGUGAAAGAGCACAGUCUCCCCUGUGCCAGGGAUGUGCAGGCAUGGGACUGCCAGCUUCUGCCCGCCAGUCUGGGCACAGCAUGAUUCUGGGUUGGGGAAACAUCCUGGGCGUUUGCCCCAGAAGACACCACAUACAGACUUCACUCUGGCCUAAGUUUGCUGUCCCAACAAAUAGACAAGGGACGAGACUACGGAUGCUGGGGCCUGUAGACUGGCUUGGCCUGGAAGGAUGCUUGGGAAGCAGGAGCUGGAGGGAAGGCCCAGAUGCACCUGCUGUGUCAGGCCUGUGUGGGAGCCCUUGGGAGCUGUGUGACUCUGGGCAAGUAUCUCAGUCUCUGGACUUCCAUUUCCACAUGCACAGAACCAGAUCAAAUUUGCCUUUUGGUUUUCGACCUGUCCUGGGGCGUUUGGGCUAGCCAGAGGGACCCAGAGCCCUCAUGGGCAUGCAUGUGGUAGGGUCAAAGACCACGUCUUCCUAACCCAUCA